GUUUUACAAACCACAUCAAUGAAUGGAUUAUUUAAUAUCUGUACUGUACGACACAGACGCUCGUUACAUGUUAGAGGUUCAGUGCAAAGAUAUGAUAUGAAAUAUAUAAGAAUAUUAAUCCUUUAUUCGUCCCACAAUGGGGAAAUUCGGGCGUAACAGCAGCAAAGUGGAUGGCAGAAUAUAUAUUGUUGUUUUUUUAAAAGCAAAAGGUAUGUACAAAAUAUAACAUAUAAAAUAUAAAUACUUAUAUACAGAGCAGUAUCAAUAAUUGCAUACGGAGAAUUAAUAUAGAUAUAAAUAUUGCACAGUUGUUAUUGCACUCCUGUGAAAUGAGAUGAAAAACUAAACAUUUUUACUUUUACCAGGAUCUGACUUCUGAGGAAGAAGUUCAUUUAAACCGUGACACGGUUCCUCAGAUCAGUGGGUGAGGCGUCCGGGGGAGACGACCAGCUCCAUCACCUGGACGUGUAACCAGCCUCACCCGCGUGGUCGUCCUCACCCGCGUGGUCGUCCUCACCCGCGUGGUCGUCCUCACCCGCGUGGUCGUCCUCACCCGCGUGGUCGUCCUCCCUCACCCGCGUGGUCGUCCUCACCCGCGUGGUCGUCCUCAGUCAUCCUCACCCGCGUGGUCGUCCUCACCCGCGUGGUCGUCCUCACCCGCGUGGUCGUCCUCAGUCAUCCUCACCCGUGUGGUCGUCCUCACCCGCGUGGUC
RNAcentral lists this long non-coding RNA (713 nucleotides) under Scophthalmus maximus (turbot). RNAcentral describes it as "lncRNA (ENSSMAG00000024043.1)". Lineage: Eukaryota; Metazoa; Chordata; Actinopteri; Pleuronectiformes; Scophthalmidae. The record is from RNAcentral.